Molecule: small nuclear RNA, 106 nt
Filed under: Notamacropus eugenii (tammar wallaby)
Lineage: Eukaryota; Metazoa; Chordata; Mammalia; Diprotodontia; Macropodidae
Source: RNAcentral
GUGCUAACAUCAGCAGCACAUACACUAAAAUUGGAAUGAGACGAAGAGAUUAGCAUGGUCCCCACUCAAGAAUGACACAUAAAUUCGUGAUACAUUCCAUACUUUG